Molecule: ribosomal RNA, 497 nt
Filed under: uncultured bacterium
Lineage: Bacteria
Description: partial 16S ribosomal RNA
Rfam family: Bacterial small subunit ribosomal RNA
Source: RNAcentral
GAUGAACGCUGGCGGCGUGCCUAAUACAUGCCAGUCGAGCGAACGGACGAGAAGCUUGCUUCUCUGAUGUUAGCGGCGGACGGGUGAGUAACACGUGGAUAACCUACCUAUAAGACUGGGAUAACUUCGGGAAACCGGAGCUAAUACCGGAUAAUAUUUUGAACCGCAUGGUUCAAAAGUGAAAGACGGUCUUGCUGUCACUUAUAGAUGGAUCCGCGCUGCAUUAGCUAGUUGGUAAGGUAACGGCUUACCAAGGCAACGAUGCAUAGCCGACCUGAGAGGGGGAUAGGCCACACUGGAACUGAGACACGGUCCAGACUACUACGGGAGGCAGCAGUAGGGAAUGUUCCGCAAUGGGCGAAAGCCUGACGGAGCAACGCCGCGUGAGUGAUGAAGGUCUUCGGAUCGUAAAACUCUGUUAUUAGGGAAGAACAUAUGUGUAAGUAACUGUGCACAUCUUGACGGUACCUAAUCAGAAAGCCACGGCUAACUACGUG